ACCGAUGGCUCCUCCACCUCAAAAGCGCUUGACCAUCUAUAUGUUGGAGUCUGCCGAUUUUGAAAUGCAGAUCCAGAUGGCUCAUGAGUAUCACACACACUUACCAACACAAACACAAAAUAAUGGCUAAUGUACACUCUCUCUCUCUCUCUCUCUCUCUCUCUCUCUGCGCAGAUGAUCACCUGUUACCUCUGGUAGAGAAAAUUCACCCAAAUAAUGCAGAUAAAAUUUCAUGGUUGCUGGUGCAGAGUGAAAACAACUUUAAUAUCAUUAACAUGAUUGCAGAUCCUGAUGUUCUGCAUACCAAAGUGGAUAAAAUGGAUAUGUUCCUAAAGGCAGGAGAAGCAGGAGUCAAGCCAGAAACUUUAAAGGUGCUCUUUGGUACAAAGAAAAAGAGAAAUAAGAAGAAGAAAAUAAAUAAUUAUUA
This is a long non-coding RNA of Silurus meridionalis, 427 nucleotides long. RefSeq lists it as uncharacterized. The transcript has 3 exons. The record is from RefSeq and is a predicted model, not a curated record. Lineage: Eukaryota; Metazoa; Chordata; Actinopteri; Siluriformes; Siluridae.